UGGGGAAUCUUGGACAAUGGGGGCAACCCUGAUCCAGCCAUGCCGCGUGGGUGAAGAAGGCCUUAGGGUUGUAAAGCCCUUUCAGUCGUGACGAUGAUGACGGUAGCGACAGAAGAAGCCCCGGCUAACUCCGUGCCAGCGGCCGCGGUAAGACGGAGGGUGCUAGCGUUGUUCGGAAUCACUGGGCGUAAAGGGCGCGUAGGCGGCCUGGACAGUCAGAUGUGAAAGCCCGGGGCUCAACCCCGGAACGGCAUUUGAUACUGCCAGGCUGGAGGUCGGAAGAGGAGGGUGGAAUAUCCAGUGUAGAGGUGAAAUUCGUAGAUAUUGGAUGGAACACCGGUGGCGAAAGCGGCUCUCUGGUCCGAACCUGACGCUGAGGCGCGAAAGCGUGGGGAGCAAACAGGAUUAGAUACCCCCAUAGUCC
RNAcentral lists this ribosomal RNA (424 nucleotides) under uncultured prokaryote. RNAcentral's name for it is "bacterial SSU rRNA". It matches the Rfam family "Bacterial small subunit ribosomal RNA", at positions 355 to 796 of the family's 1533-position model. The record is from RNAcentral.